GAUGAACGCUAGCGGGAGGCUUAAUACAUGCAAGUCGAACGGCAGCAUGGGACUUCGGUCCUGAUGGCGAGUGGCGCACGGGUGAGUAACGCGUACACAACCUACCUAUAACAGGGGGAUAGCCACUGGAAACGGUGAAUAAUACCCCAUAGUAUUACUUUUUUGAUGAUUGAGUAAUUAAAGUUCCGGCGGUUAUAGAUGGGUGUGCGUCCGAUUAGCUAGUUGGUAAGGUAACGGCUUACCAAGGCGACGAUUGGUAGGGGGCGUGAGAGCGUGAUCCCCCACACGGGUACUGAGACACGGACCCGACUCCUACGGGAGGCAGCAGUAAGGAAUAUUGGACAAUGGGGGCAACCCUGAUCCAGCCAUCCCGCGUGUAGGAAGACUGCCCUAUGGGUUGUAAACUACUUUUAGAUAGGAAGAACAGCAGGCACUUGUGCUUGUAUGACGGUACUAUCAGAAUAAGCACCGGCUAACUCCG
Molecule: ribosomal RNA, 481 nt
Filed under: uncultured Saprospiraceae bacterium
Lineage: Bacteria; Pseudomonadati; Bacteroidota; Saprospiria; Saprospirales; Saprospiraceae
Description: bacterial SSU rRNA
Rfam family: Bacterial small subunit ribosomal RNA
Source: RNAcentral